This 253-nucleotide ribosomal RNA is filed under the name uncultured bacterium. RNAcentral's name for it is "partial 16S ribosomal RNA". It matches the Rfam family "Bacterial small subunit ribosomal RNA", at positions 524 to 776 of the family's 1533-position model. The record is from RNAcentral.
UACGUAGGUGACCAGCGUUGUCCGGAUUUACUGGGCGUAAAGAGCGCGCAGGCGGUCGUUCAAGUCGAGUGUGAAAGCCCCCGGCUCAACUGGGGAGGGUCACUCGAUACUGAUCGACUGGAAGGCAGGAGAGGGAAGCGGAAUUCCCGGUGUAGUGGUGAAAUGCGUAGAUAUCGGGAGGAACACCAGUGGCGAAGGCGGCUUCCUGGCCUGUUCUUGACGCUGAGGCGCGAAAGCUAGGGGAGCGAAUGGG